This 39-nucleotide ribosomal RNA is filed under the name Dyschoriste linearis var. linearis. RNAcentral describes it as "partial 18S ribosomal RNA". The record is from RNAcentral. Lineage: Eukaryota; Viridiplantae; Streptophyta; Magnoliopsida; Lamiales; Acanthaceae.
GGGGUGUGGGGGGGUGGGGGACGGGGACUGGGCGGUUCG